RNAcentral lists this ribosomal RNA (407 nucleotides) under uncultured bacterium. Its description in RNAcentral is "bacterial SSU rRNA". It matches the Rfam family "Bacterial small subunit ribosomal RNA", at positions 8 to 419 of the family's 1533-position model. The record is from RNAcentral.
AGAGUUUGAUCCUGGCUCAGAUUGAACGCUGGCGGCAUGCCUUACACAUGCAAGUCGAACGGUAACAGCACUUCGGUGGCUGACGAGUGGCGAACGGGUGAGUAAUACAUCGGAACGUGCCCGAGAGUGGGGGAUAACGCAGCGAAAGCUGUGCUAAUACCGCAUACGAUCUACGGAUGAAAGCAGGGGACCGCAAGGCCUUGCGCUCAUGGAGCGGCCGAUGGCAGAUUAGGUAGUUGGUGGGAUAAAAGCUUACCAAGCCGACGAUCUGUAGCUGGUCUGAGAGGACGACCAGCCACACUGGGACCGAGACACGGCCCAGACUCCUACGGGAGGCAGCAGUGGGGAAUUUUGGACAAUGGGCGAAAGCCUGAUCCAGCCAUGCCGCGUGCAGGAUGAAGGCCUUC